Non-coding RNA from Rhopilema esculentum, 794 nucleotides. The record is from RefSeq and is a predicted model, not a curated record. NCBI's taxonomy places the organism in Eukaryota, Metazoa, Cnidaria, Scyphozoa, Rhizostomeae, Rhizostomatidae.
UAGACUUCUGGUAGCGUACUGGUAUUCAAAUGGCGAGAAACACCAAACAGUUAUUAGAGAACGGCUGUUUGCCAAUCAUUUCAUGAAAACAGAACCUGUUAAAAUACUUACUGCAACAACUGACACCAAAAAGUGGCCAAUAUUUAAUUCAGGAUUAGCUGCAAGUUUGAAAUCUUCCUCUCAUCAAACAAGCGUGAUCGGUGGCCUACAAGAGAAAUGACGAAUUAACGAGUCAAAAGCAACGCCCACUACUAAUACUGCUACAAAUGCAAAAAAUCAAGCCGUUAUCCAUGGUUACACAUUGUUCAACAUCGAGAAAAUAAUGUAUAACAACGAACGUGAGUCUUUAUUAACCUGCCUAUAGAAAUUAAUCACCAUGGCAUACAUUGUACCUGCAAAAGCGAUAUGUCUGCAAUAGGAAAUCACAGACAGGCCUUCUCUGAAGUAGGCUCGUGUUUUUUAUUUACGACUAGAUGACGAAGAAGCAGACAUAACUGUGACAAACAAACUUUCGAAAAUGUACCCCUAAAUAUACUAGCCCCAAGCUUGUGGCAAAUGCAUUGCCCAGUUUUUCGAGGUGUACAUUCAAUAUCACAAUCUUGAAAAGUUACCUUGUCCAGUAAUCUCUGUCACUUUUCUGACAAAUAUUUUGCGAUACACUCGCUGAAAUAAUUUAUUUUGACGGAUACUACUUUAGUAUAAAUAUUUCAAGGGAAUGACAAAUUUCCUAAACUUCGAAUCGAGGCAUCUAAUAGGGACUUGCUAGUGCUAAAACUACCAUGAAAUGACAUUUG